UUGAAGUGUGGACGCCAGUCUGCAUGGAGCCGACCUUGAAAUACCACCCUUUAAUGUUUGAUGUUCUAACGUUGACCCGUAAUCCGGGUUGCGGACAGUGUCUGGUGGGUAGUUUGACUGGGGCGGUCUCCUCCUAAAGAGUAACGGAGGAGCACGAAGGUUGGCUAAUCCUGGUCGGACAUCAGGAGGUUAGUGCAAUGGCAUAAGCCAGCUUGACUGCGAGCGUGACGGCGCGAGCAGGUGCGAAAGCAGGUCAUAGUGAUCCGGUGGUUCUGAAUGGAAGGGCCAUCGCUCAACGGAUAAAAGGUACUCCGGGGAUAACAGGCUGAUACCGCCCAAGAGUUCAUAUCGACGGCGGUGUUUGGCACCUCGAUGUCGGCUCAUCACAUCCUGGGGCUGAAGUAGGUCCCAAGGGUAUGGCUGUUCGCCAUUUAAAGUGGUACGCGAGCUGGGUUUAGAACGUCGUGAGACAGUUCGGUCCCUAUCUGCCGUGGGCGCUGGAGAACUGAGGGGGGCUGCUCCUAGUACGAGAGGACCGGAGUGGACGCAUCACUGGUGUUCGGGUUGUCAUGCCAAUGGCACUGCCCGGUAGCUAAAUGCGGAAGAGAUAAGUGCUGAAAGCAUCUAAGCACGAAACUUGCC
This 642-nucleotide ribosomal RNA is filed under the name Escherichia coli. RNAcentral describes it as "partial 23S ribosomal RNA". It matches the Rfam family "Bacterial large subunit ribosomal RNA", at positions 2157 to 2798 of the family's 2925-position model. The record is from RNAcentral. Lineage: Bacteria; Pseudomonadati; Pseudomonadota; Gammaproteobacteria; Enterobacterales; Enterobacteriaceae.